GACGUAGGGCGCGAGCGUUGUCCGGAUUUAUUGGGCGUAAAGAGCUCGUAGGCGGCUUGUCGCGUCGACUGUGAAAACCCGCGGCUCAACCGUGUGGUCUGCAGUCGAUACGGGCAGGCUAGAGUUCGGUAGGGGAGACUGGAAUUCCCGGUGUAGCGGUGAAAUGCGCAGAUAUCGGGAAGAACACCCGUGGCGAAGGCGGCUCUCUGGGACGGUACUGACGCUGAGACGCGAAAGCGUGGGGAGCGAACAGG
Molecule: ribosomal RNA, 254 nt
Filed under: uncultured bacterium
Lineage: Bacteria
Description: partial 16S ribosomal RNA
Rfam family: Bacterial small subunit ribosomal RNA
Source: RNAcentral